GGGUCAGUAGGUUGGUCGUGCCACCGGUACGUACUGGUCUCACUGAUUCCCCCUUCCUGAAGAACCGUAAUGCCAUUAAUUUGGUGUUGCGGGGGAAACAGGACUGUUACUUUGAAAAAAUUAGAGUGUUUAAAGCAAGCUAACGCUUGAAUACAUUAGCAUGGAAUAAUGAAAUAGGACGAUCGAUCCUAUUUUGUUGGUUUCUAGGAUUGACGUA
This 217-nucleotide ribosomal RNA is filed under the name Glomeromycotina sp. RNAcentral describes it as "partial small subunit ribosomal RNA". The stretch from base 68 to 217 matches the Rfam family "Eukaryotic small subunit ribosomal RNA", at positions 713 to 864 of the family's 1831-position model. The record is from RNAcentral. Lineage: Eukaryota; Fungi; Glomeromycota.